RNAcentral lists this unclassified non-coding RNA (234 nucleotides) under plant metagenome. RNAcentral describes it as "partial contains small subunit ribosomal RNA, internal transcribed spacer 1, and 5.8S ribosomal RNA". The record is from RNAcentral.
UUUCCGUAGGUGAACCUGCGGAAGGAUCAUUAAUGUGUUUGGGCCUCACGGCUCUUCAUUCCGACGCUGUGCGCCUUCGGGCUGCACGCUGAGGGAGCAUAUAUCCACCCCUGUGCACACACACGGUGGCGAGCUGGGUAACGGCUCGCCGCUGAUCUUUACACACGUCUAAAAGUCAUUGUAUGUUUAUUUGAGAUAAAAACACAACUUUCAGCAACGGAUCUCUUGGCUCUC